Molecule: transfer RNA, 58 nt
Filed under: Armadillidium vulgare (common pillbug)
Lineage: Eukaryota; Metazoa; Arthropoda; Malacostraca; Isopoda; Armadillidiidae
Description: tRNA-Pro
Source: RNAcentral
AUGCUAUUAGGGCUAAUACUCCCCCUAGUUUAUUAGGGAUAGAUCGUAAGAUAGCAUA